AUGUAUUUUCAAAUUGAAAUACAAACUCCUCAUUCAUUCUUCAUCAAAUAUAUAGCUUUUCAAACUUGUAACAAAAGCGAUUCUCAAAAUGUCAUAUUGUAUUCUUACGAUUACGUUUCUCCUUGAUUUUAACUUAUAUAGGGAAUCACUGGAGCGUGACAGCAGCGGGCCCUCUUAGGCAGUCAGUGGGCCCCUACUUAUGAAAAAUUCUAGAUCCGCGAAUGGAUACUACCGCAGAGGUAAAACCAUGCACAUUUGGGUUAUUGUACACGAAAUGCAUGCUACAAUUCAUUUUUGUUGAUUUUAGACCCUUUGGAACUCUAUGUGGGCUAUUUCAGCAACUAGGCAAAAAUCCCCAAACUAGAUACACGGUUAGAUUCAGCAUGUCAACGAAUUCCAAAUAUCUAUAUUAAAGGACUUUUGUCUAUAAAUUUGGACCCC
This 441-nucleotide long non-coding RNA is filed under the name Mytilus galloprovincialis (Mediterranean mussel). Lineage: Eukaryota; Metazoa; Mollusca; Bivalvia; Mytilida; Mytilidae. The record is from RNAcentral.